UCUACGGCCAUACCACCCUGAAUGUGCCUGAUCUCAGAAGCUAAGCAUGGUUGGGCCUGGUUAGUGCUUGGAUGAGAGAAACUAAGAAGAGCUGAUGGAA
Molecule: ribosomal RNA, 100 nt
Filed under: Mus caroli (Ryukyu mouse)
Lineage: Eukaryota; Metazoa; Chordata; Mammalia; Rodentia; Muridae
Source: RNAcentral